RNAcentral lists this long non-coding RNA (945 nucleotides) under Fukomys damarensis (Damara mole-rat). RNAcentral's name for it is "lncRNA (ENSFDAG00000033295.1)". Lineage: Eukaryota; Metazoa; Chordata; Mammalia; Rodentia; Bathyergidae. The record is from RNAcentral.
UUGGCUAAUGCAUUUUUUGUUCCUUUUUGCAGGACUGGGGAUUGAACCCAGGGCCUUUGCACUGAGCUCCGUCCUCGGUCUCUUUAUUUUUGUAUUCUGAGGCCAAGUCGUGCUAAAUGACUUAAAUUGUCCGGUCUGGGCUCCAACUUUCCAUCCUCCGGCCUCCGCCCACGGAGUGAGGCUCUGCCGACUGGCGGGUGCCCCUGUGACCCGGGAAGCCGGUGGGCACAGGGCCACACUCAGCGCAGAUGGGCUGUGGGGCAGAGCGGGCAGGAGGCGGAGGGGCCUCGCGUAGGGAGGGGCUGGGCCGAAGGCGCUGCCUCGGGUGCGGCUCGGCGUGGUGCUGGGGAUUCCGGAUGCUUCCGCUAAAGCAGAGUGUGCAGCCUCGGACGGCGGUCACAGAGAGGAGGAGCCAUGGUACGGCGCUGUCCCGGCCGCUGCCCGCCGCGGUGCGCUGCUGUCUCUGGGUCACGGGACGCUGGGAGUCAAGGGCACCGGUCAUGUGACCACACCCCCCCAUUCCCAUUGGCUGCUGGAGCGAGGCGUGGCCUAUCCCAGGCAGGGGCCUGAUUUACAGACGCUGGGAGUCAAGGGCACCGGUCAUGUGACCACACCCCCCCAUUCCCAUUGGCUGCCAGGGAGCUGGAGCGAGGCGUGGCCUAUCCCAGGCAGGGGCCUGCGCGUGGACUCUGUGAGGCAGUGAUACAGCCAGCUCCCACCUGUUUUCUCCUCACUCAUUUUACCUUUUCUGUGGCUUUCUUAUAAUAAAAUCACAUCGAUAUAUCUUAAGAUAUUAUUUGCAUAUUUGUAAAUUUUCUAUUUUGUGAAAAGAGGUAAAUUAAGGAAGAAGCGAGACUUCUCUCUGGGUUUCAAUCUGCCAUGAUUUCUGCCACUGCCCUUUAGAGUCUGAUGAUGAGUCGUCCCCCCCAAUUUGGGGACAUGUCA